RNAcentral lists this ribosomal RNA (468 nucleotides) under uncultured bacterium. Its description in RNAcentral is "partial 16S ribosomal RNA". It matches the Rfam family "Bacterial small subunit ribosomal RNA", at positions 28 to 507 of the family's 1533-position model. The record is from RNAcentral.
GACGAACGCUGGCGGCGUGCUUAACACAUGCCAGUCGAACGGAAAGGCCCUGCUUUUGUGGGGUGCUCGAGUGGCGAACGGGUGCGUAACACGUGAGUAACCUGCCCUUGACUUUGGGAUAACUUCAGGAAACUGGGGCUAAUACCGGAUAGUAGCUCCUGCUGCAUGGUGGGGGUUGGAAAGUUUCGGCGGUUGGGGAUGGACUCGCGGCUUAUCAGCUUGUUGGUGGGGUAGUGGCUUACCAAGGCUUUGACGGGUAGCCGGCCUGAGAGGGUGACCGGCAACAUUGGGACUGAGAUACGGCCCAGAGUACUACGGGAGGCAGCAGUGGGGAAUAUUGCACAAUGGGCGGAAGCCUGAUGCAGCAACGCCGCGUGCGGGAUGACGGCCUUCGGGUUGUAAACCGCUUUCGCCUGUGACGAAGCGUGAGUGACGGUAAUGGGUAAAGAAGCACCGGCUAACUACGUG